This 292-nucleotide ribosomal RNA is filed under the name uncultured bacterium. RNAcentral's name for it is "partial 16S ribosomal RNA". The record is from RNAcentral.
GGACUACUGGGGUAUCUAAUCCUGUUUGCUCCCCACGCUUUCGAGCCUCAGCGUCAGUAACGGACCAGUAUGUCGCCUUCGCCACUGGUGUUCUUCCGAAUAUCUACGAAUUUCACCUCUACACUCGGAGUUCCACAUACCUCUUCCGUACUCAAGACUGCCAGUAUCAAAGGCAAUUCCAAGGUUGAGCCCUGGGCUUUCACCUCUAACUUAACAGUCCGCCUACGCUCCCUUUACGCCCAGUAAUUCCGAGCAACGCUAGCCCCCUUCGUAUUACCGCGGCUGCUGGCAC